UGCCACUCGGUGUUUGCAUUGAUGAUUCGGGCAAAAGAAGGCAUGAGGUUGCUGGCCUGGUCUGGGGUAUAAAGGAGAACCCUUAAUGUCCUCCCCAUCAGUCUACUGGAAACCCGCAGCUCGCCAACAUGAAGUUCUCCUUGUUCUUUUUGGUGGCUAUGGCCUGCCUGGUGGCGGUUUAUGCCAUGCCAGGCCCAGUUGCCAUCGCUGGCCCUCAUCCCGAGGCCUACCCUGAUCCUUCAGCUGACCCUCACUGGGGGGGUGGCUAUGGCGGCUGGGGAGGCCACCACCACCAUCACCACGGCCACCACCACUGGGGUUAACUUACUCGGACCGAUUUCUGGACGACAAUGGCAACGGCAAUGAUGGAAACUCCACACGAAUCAGAGAGGGAAUAUUUCUUUCCGCCUUCCCUUAUGCAUCUCGCAUCCAGGGGGGCAAGGGCUAGAAUUUACCUUUGGUUACACUAAAAAUUAAUAACUGAUGGGAAUGUAUUUUUUGUAUACAUAAAUCUUCAUUGGGGAUAACUUUAAUUUCUUACGAAAUAAAGUCUGCACAUUAA
Scylla paramamosain (green mud crab) is the source of this 562-nucleotide long non-coding RNA. RefSeq lists it as uncharacterized. The record is from RefSeq and is a predicted model, not a curated record. The transcript has 2 exons. NCBI's taxonomy places the organism in Eukaryota, Metazoa, Arthropoda, Malacostraca, Decapoda, Portunidae.